RNAcentral lists this ribosomal RNA (252 nucleotides) under uncultured microorganism. Its description in RNAcentral is "partial 16S ribosomal RNA". It matches the Rfam family "Bacterial small subunit ribosomal RNA", at positions 524 to 776 of the family's 1533-position model. The record is from RNAcentral.
UACGUAGGUCCCGAGCGUUGUCCGGAUUUAUUGGGCGUAAAGCGAGCGCAGGUGGUUUAUUAAGUCUGGUGUAAAAGGCAGUGGCUCAACCAUUGUGUGCAUUGAAAACUGUUAGACUUGAGUGCAGUAGAGGAGAGUGGAAUUCCAUGUGUAGCGGUGAAAUGCGUAGAUAUAUGGAGGAACGCCGGUGGCGAAGGCGGCUCUCUGGACUGUAACUGACACUGAGGCUCGAAAGCGUGGGUAGCAAACAGG